UGAUGGAGCACAAUGUGGAUUCUAUGUUAUGCGAUUCAUGAGAGAUGUCUUUGACAAUCUUGUAUCCGAUCACUCUCUCCCAUUAGCUACGUUGUUCACAGGAGGAUGUUAUUCCAAAAAAGAGAUUGAUGAAAUGAGGAUAGAGUAGUGGGCAGAGUUUCUAAGUUCGAUUGAUGAUUGAUGAUGAUGGUGUAACUUUGACACUCAAGUAACCUCAUUUUUUACUCACAUGUAUUAUGAUCAACAAUAUUUUUUUGGAUUUGAUGUAGGAUGUUUGUAUGAUGGAUACUUUUUCAAUGUAGGAUGAUAAUUAACUUUGAAACUAAUGAAUGACCUUUUUAUUA
Salvia miltiorrhiza (redroot sage) is the source of this 344-nucleotide long non-coding RNA. RefSeq lists it as uncharacterized. The record is from RefSeq and is a predicted model, not a curated record. Lineage: Eukaryota; Viridiplantae; Streptophyta; Magnoliopsida; Lamiales; Lamiaceae. The transcript has 3 exons.